UACAGAGGGGGCAAGCGUUGUUCGGAAUUACUGGGCGUAAAGGGCGCGUAGGCGGCCUACUAAGUCGAACGUGAAAUCCCUGGGCUUAACCCAGGAACUGCGUCCGAUACUGGCAGGCUUGAAUCCGGGAGAGGGAUGCGGAAUUCCAGGUGUAGCGGUGAAAUGCGUAGAUAUCUGGAGGAACACCGGUGGCGAAGGCGGCAUCCUGGACCGGCAUUGACGCUGAGGCGCGAAAGCCAGGGGAGCAAACGGG
This 253-nucleotide ribosomal RNA is filed under the name uncultured bacterium. RNAcentral's name for it is "partial 16S ribosomal RNA". It matches the Rfam family "Bacterial small subunit ribosomal RNA", at positions 524 to 776 of the family's 1533-position model. The record is from RNAcentral.